This is a long non-coding RNA of Nicotiana tabacum (common tobacco), 1168 nucleotides long. RefSeq lists it as uncharacterized. The record is from RefSeq and is a predicted model, not a curated record. Lineage: Eukaryota; Viridiplantae; Streptophyta; Magnoliopsida; Solanales; Solanaceae.
UCCCCUUUUACUCUCCCUUUCUCCUCUCUCCUCACUCUUUGAGCCGCCGCCGCUCCGCCAUCCCUCAGCCACUGCCACCACCGUGAGCCGCUGCCGGUGUUGGUACAAACCACCCUAUAUUUUUACCACUUCUUCCUCUCAACCUCCUCUCCAUGAAUCCAAGCCUCAUAUCCUCCAAAUCUCCAUAGAUCUACCCAAAUCCGAAGCCCUAGCCUUCUUCUAUUUUUGAGUUUCAUCAAGGUUGAACCAUCUUUACCCUACGAUACAAGCAUAAACGGGUAGGUCUCUUUGAGGUCUACCCUUUACCCUUAGUUUCAUCCUGAAAGUCCAUCCACUACCGUCGGACUCCGGCGACCACCACUACCGUCCCACCACCUUCACUACCAGAUGACCCGACUGUCCGAAGCCAUCUUCUAGACCUAGGCACGUUUUUCUUCAAGAUAAAAAUGCUAGUUUCAAUGGCCGCCUGCCAAGGAAAUUACAGUGGCAUUUUAUCUCAAAGAAAAAUGUGCUCGAGUCGGCUGCCUCGUUGCAGAACCGAGCUUAUGAUUUUGUUUAGCAAUAACUGAAGAUUUGAAUCUGUUUAGAUUGCUGGGAUGCACUUGAUUUCAUUUUAUGAGUUUGUUUAAGUGCUUUAACGUUUUUAUGUAUGGCUCAAGUAUGUGAAUAUGUAACUGAUAGCUUGAAGUUUUUAUUCUUCCUUAAAUGUUAGUCGAAGCACUCUGUUAAUCUCGUUUAGUCACGGAAAAGAUCAUAUACUAGCCAUUAUUGCUUUGACAUGAUUUCUUUGUCUAAUUCUCGAAAGAGGAGGUGUUUAUAAGCAUGUACUACUGUUAGGUGUUUCUGGGAGGCUCAUGCCAUCACUGUUCGGAUACUAGAGCUAAACGAAAAUUGACCAAUGUUCAAGUUAAAUUAGUUAGAGUAAGCACGAUAUAAAAAGAGGUGUUUGAAGGUUAAUAGAUUUUAGCAUAGUUCAUUAAGUUCGACUUUUGAGUGUUGGAGUGAACUAAUUAGUCAAGUCUAUAAUCUUAGUAAGUGAAUAUGCAUUUUCUCUUUUAGCAGAUGAGUUGGGUGGUUUAGUUUGGGGAGUAACAAUUUGUUAAGUAAAAGGAGAUCUAUCCAUGUAUUUUAAUUUAUUAGCCUAAAAUUAAUAUUAUUGUGUUUUGCU